AAUAACUCAUUGAGUGUUGAGUAAAAUUAAAAGAUGGGCAAGAAUAAAUCCUUCAUUUUCAUCUCAUAUGGGAAGAUUUAUGAAGGCCUCUGAGAAGAAGCAUCUGUCUGCUAGUUGUAAAUUGAGAGUAUUAAGGGAAAACAUUGGAAUAUUUUGGUUACAUUAGUGAGAGGAAUGUAUUAACUCAAAUGCUUUUGAGAUCUUUCCCUUUGGGGCCAAAGAUUACUCUUGAUGAAGAACAUGUGAACUUUUAGAAUUCAUCUCCUGCUUGGGAACAAAGACCAUAGCACAAACAAUGUUAAAUGGUUGGUGUUUUGGGGAGUGGUUUCUAAGAAACACAAUUAUGUGUGGGAUGUUGGUGGCUUUUUUUUUCAUAUGGAUAUGGUUUUCUCUAUGCUUGUGAGUUUUCUCUUUCAAGUCCAUAGGGGCUGCAAAUCAGAGGACUUGGAAAAGGGCUGGGGAAUGUAACUAACCAAUAUGUUACUUUCUUAGCC
RNAcentral lists this long non-coding RNA (494 nucleotides) under Bos taurus (domestic cattle). Its description in RNAcentral is "long non-coding RNA NONBTAT024491". Lineage: Eukaryota; Metazoa; Chordata; Mammalia; Artiodactyla; Bovidae. The record is from RNAcentral.